UGGGGAAUUUUGGACAAUGGGCGAAAGCCUGAUCCAGCAAUGCCGCGUGUGUGAAGAAGGCCUUCGGGUUGUAAAGCACUUUUGUCCGGAAAGAAAUCCUUGGCUCUAAUACAGUCGGGGGAUGACGGUACCGGAAGAAUAAGCACCGGCUAACUACGUGCCAGCAGCCGCGGUAAUACGUAGGGUGCAAGCGUUAAUCGGGAUUACUGGGCGUAAAGCGUGCGCAGGCGGUUUGCUAAGACCGAUGUGAAAUCCCCGGGCUCGACCUGGGAACUGCAUUGGUGACUGGCAGGCUAGAGUAUGGCAGAGGGGGGUAGAAUUCCACGUGUAGCAGUGAAAUGCGUAGAGAUGUGGAGGAAUACCGAUGGCGAAGGCAGCCCCUGGGCCAAUACUGACGCUCAUGCACGAAAGCGUGGGGAGCAAACAGGAUUAGAUACCCUGGUAGUCCACGCCCUAAACGAUGUCAACUAGUUGUUGGGGACUUCAUUUCCUUAGUAACGUAGCUAACGCGUGAAGUUGA
Molecule: ribosomal RNA, 520 nt
Filed under: uncultured bacterium
Lineage: Bacteria
Description: partial 16S ribosomal RNA
Rfam family: Bacterial small subunit ribosomal RNA
Source: RNAcentral